CACGGUGGGCUGAAAAUCGGCCUCCAUAGAAAUAGAAACCGAAGUCUUAAAUUUGAACUUUUUUUAUUGGAAUAGCUUUUGUUAGGUUUUAUUAUGUACCAAAAUUAAUCUUAGCUAAUUUGGUUGGAAAAAUAAUUAAUUAUAUUUUUUUUUUCAAAAUUAAUGUAUGGCGCGUAUCAGAAAAAUCGAGUUUUCUCCGAAAAUAAUAAGUUAACCGUAAUAUCCUGACAGAUGAUUUUAAAACCAAUUAUUGUUGAUUUUUCCACAUAAUUCGAAUUUUACUACGGGUGCACUUUUUUUUUGAAAAAUCGAUAUAUAUUUUUUAUUUUUUUUUAUGUAUUUUUUUUAUUUUAAUACGGUUAUACUCGUUAUUUUGACUACAAAAAAUGAAUUUGAGUUUGAUCGAACCAAUAACUUACGCGUAGUGAAUUUUUGAUGUAAUGGUUUUAUUUUCAGUUUUCUACUUGUAACUCUUGUAUGUUUAUUAUUUAUUUGAUUAAAACAAUGAGAAAAAGCUAUUUCAGCAUGAAAAAAUAAGUUUUAUAUCUUUUAUUAAAUAAGUGCAUACGGUAGAAAAGUUCGCGUUAUAUUAAAAUAUCCUUAAUAAUUGGUACUUAAAUCAUCUGCAAGGAUAUUACGGUAUACCUUUAAUUAAAAAAAAAACCGUUUUACUCGUACGCUCCAUACAUUUGCUUAGAACAAAAAUUCACUACGCGUAAGUUAUUGGUUCGAUCAAACUCAAAUUAAUUUUUUGUAGUCAAAAUAACGAGUAUAACCGUAUUAAAACAAAAAAAAAUAUAUAAAAAAAUAU
Long non-coding RNA from Cydia splendana, 811 nucleotides. RefSeq lists it as uncharacterized. Lineage: Eukaryota; Metazoa; Arthropoda; Insecta; Lepidoptera; Tortricidae. The transcript is spliced from 2 exons. The record is from RefSeq and is a predicted model, not a curated record.